UGGUUGCUUAGGAAAAGGAUAUAAGUUCUACCUUAAAAAUAUAAAGCACUAUAAGCCCAUCAAAUUUUUAAGAAUUAUUCAAUAAGGGUACAGCCUUAUUGAAAAAGGAAACAACCUAAAACUGCGGAUAAUGAUUAAUCUAUAUAAGGAAUUAAGGUUAAGUUGGCCUAAAAGCAGCCAUCUUUAAAAAAGCGUCAAAGCUUCACCUUUUUUAACCUCAAAUAAUACUAUUUUUUCAAAAUCCUGAAUUACUACUAAGCCAUUCUAUACUUUUAUAGAAAAGUUAAUGUUAGGACUAGUAACACAGAAUUAAUUCUCUUACAUGUAAGUCUAAAUCAACACGAAUAACUCCUUGAUAAUCACUCAGCCCUGAAAAAAAAGUAGCACCCCCUAACACUACAAAAAUCCUACUUAUAUAACUGUUAACCAAACACAUGAACAUGAAAGAAAGAUAAAAAAAUUAGGAAGGAACUCGGCAAACAUAAGUCUCGCCUGUUUACCAAAAACAUCGCCUCUUGAGCUUUAUAAGAGGUAACGCCUGCCCAGUGAUUUAAUAUUUAACGGCCGCGGUAUUCUGACCGUGCAAAGGUAGCGUAAUCAUUUGUCUUUUAAAUAAAGACUAGUAUGAAUGGCAUCACGAGGACUUAACUGUCUCCCUAAUUUAAUCAGUGAAACUGAUCUUCCUGUGAAAAAGCAGGAAUAACUUAAUAAGACGAGAAGACCCUAUGGAGCUUAAAAUCUAUAUCUACCUAUAUCUUCUGUUAAUAAAAUACCACUAAUCUAUAGACUUAGAUAAAGUUUUUGGUUGGGGCGACAAUGGAGAACAAUUUAUCCUCCAUGAAGAAAAACUUUGAGUUACCACUCUUAGUAGUAGCAAGCCUAACUUAAAUUGAUCCAAACUUUUUGAUCAACGGAACAAGUUACCCUAGGGAUAACAGCGCAAUCCAUUUCAAGAGUUCAUAUCGACAAAUGGGUUUACGACCUCGAUGUUGGAUUAGGACAUCCUAGUGGUGCAGCCGCUACUAAGGGUUCGUUUGUUCAACGAUUAAAGUCCU
This 1055-nucleotide ribosomal RNA is filed under the name Leptobrachium smithi (Smith's litter frog). RNAcentral describes it as "partial large subunit ribosomal RNA". It matches the Rfam family "Bacterial large subunit ribosomal RNA", at positions 850 to 2597 of the family's 2925-position model. The record is from RNAcentral. Lineage: Eukaryota; Metazoa; Chordata; Amphibia; Anura; Megophryidae.